Molecule: long non-coding RNA, 1758 nt
Organism: Ochotona princeps (American pika)
Lineage: Eukaryota; Metazoa; Chordata; Mammalia; Lagomorpha; Ochotonidae
Exons: 2
Source: RefSeq, a predicted model, not a curated record
UGAUUCAUUUUUAUAUGUAACGUUUUAGCCCACUCUAUAGCUCGGACCGGUUAAUGUUCAACUCCUGGGCGUGGAGAGGCAGUUCCAAGGAGGCAAGCAAGGAUGACCCCAUUCAAGGUAUAUGGCCGCGUGGGAGUGGAGGCGCAGAGGCCCGAGGCAGGGAUGGAUGGGUUUGCUCGCUUGAGUUCUGUCUGCGCAAAGUAGGCCGAGAUCCACCUCCAGCACCCAGAGUUCGCAAGUCACUCCCGGUCCGACCGGCAGGAGACGCAAAUUCUGACGGCAGUUUGGUCCACGCUUCCUUCCAGCCCCCAUCCCCAAGUCCGCUUGCCCAGCUCCUGCCCUCCCCCAUUCUCAGACCCCUCCCCACCCCUCCUCCCCUCCCCCCCCCCCGGGUCCGGCGGAGGCGCUGGGGAGGCCCGGACCGCUGGGCCCCUGGGGGCUCCAGAAGCCAAAGUCCGCUCGUGGGGACCGUUUUCCUCUCCACUGCUCUCAAGUGAACAACAAGGACGGAGGUGACCCUCGUCCAAAGGGCUUUUAUCUGACCCCAGCGCCGCGUGAUCCCGCCGCCCGUUGGAGGCAGGAGCUUUGAAAAGAAAGAAAGCAAAGUUAAUGUGCGCUGAGGACUGAUCUUAAAUCGGGGGACAUUAUCUUCCAUCUCCGUAAGUGGCAGCAGCAGUGCCUCGCAGAACAAAGACUCAGUGUCUGAGCUUUCCACAGCUUCUAGGUAACGUUUCAGCGAGAUAAGAGCCACCUCAGCGCAAAAACACGGGUUUUCUCGGCUCCCGAAAACCCGCGGCUGUUCAGAGCUCGCCAUUCUCCCGCGUCGUGUUUGUCCUGGCCCACUGCGGGAUGGGGGUGGAGAUGGCAAGAAUAACAAAGGACUUCGGCACCCACCCACCCCGCCCCCAUCCUGCGAGGGCGACGCGGAGGAAUUCUUUAGAACCACCUCACAUUUGCUACUAUUUGCCCCAAAAUCAAAUUCCACUUUUUUUUUUUAAGAGCGGAAAAUCACCUAUCAAAGCAAAGUGAGCGGGCGUUGCUGGAAGUUAAAAAAAAAAAGAAAGGAGGAAAAAAAAAACCCUUUCACCGCGACCUCUUUCCCGAUUAGAUGUCAGAGGAUGGGAGGGAGGGCCUAGGCUGUAAUUCAUCUUGAUUUGCUUCAUUGUCCUGCAGUUUGCAAACUAUAAUCCUGUAUAAUUUCAGGAACAAGCAGGUUUAGAAUUAAUGGGUCAAUAUUAUUUAAAACAAAACACGGGGAGCACGACCUUUGCCUCAACUACAUAUUGCUCGACAAGACUCAGGAAACUCCACUCUAACCUCUCAACCCCUGGACUCUUUGAGAAACUAAAGGGCCCUGGUUAUUAGAAAUGGUCUUUGUUUCUUUUAAUGUCUCCAAAGGAUUUGGAAAUAGUAACGCAAUAGAACAUGAAGGAUCUCUCUACUUAAGUCGGAAAGAUAAACGUGGAGGCCUAAAUAUUUUGAACUGGAGGCGUUUCCUGGUAAAUUUAUGAUGGAUGUAUUCCUUGUGAGAGGAAUGUAUAUUAACGCUAGACUUAUACCUGCACACCACACAAGCUUCUCCUGAAGAAUUUACUGGAAGCACAGGUCCGCCCCCUCCCCAGGAGAAAACCUGAGAGCCAUUCCAAACUAGCAGUAUUUACUAAAUCUCUUUCUCCUUUCUUCUUUCUCUCUUAUAUUAUUUACUGGCAAUAAUGGAAUCCACUGGGUGUAAGCCAAAGAAAAAUUUGAAAGACAAGA